RNAcentral lists this ribosomal RNA (99 nucleotides) under Favonigobius melanobranchus (blackthroat goby). Its description in RNAcentral is "partial 16S rRNA". The record is from RNAcentral. Lineage: Eukaryota; Metazoa; Chordata; Actinopteri; Gobiiformes; Gobiidae.
CUACCCCAACAACUAGCCCCACUCCUUAAAUUCAACAAACCCCAUUAAUAACCCCAAAUAAGCUAAAGAAAACAAGCAAACCAUUUUUCCCCCCAAGUA